CGGUUUGGGAGCCGGCGGGGCGGGGGGGGGUGGGGCGCUCUCCUCCGCCCCCCCCACCGCUCCCCUCCCCGCCCCCCCUCGCCCCGCCGCGGCGUCUGACGUCCCGCGCGUCGGCUUGCGCGGAGCAGCGAGGGGAGCCGGGCCGGCCGCAGGCGGGGUGCGAAGAGAAAAAAUGACACUCCAGUGGGUGGCAGUUGCAACCUUUCUUUAUGCUGAAAUAGGACUUAUUUUAAUCUUCUGUCUGCCUUUUAUUCCUCCUCAGAGAUGGCAGAAGAUUUUUUCAUUUACUGUCUGGGGUAAAAUUGCAACUUUCUGGAACAAGGCUUUCCUUACUAUAAUAGUCCUAUUGAUUGUUCUAUUUUUAGAUGCUGUGAGAGAAGUAAGGAAGUAUUCCUCUACACCUGCCAUUGAAAAAGGCUUAACCAGCAGACCUGGAGCCUAUGAACAUGCACAAAUGAAACUUUUUAGGUCUCAAAGAAAUCUUUACAUUUCUGGAUUUUCAUUAUUUUUUUGGCUAGUGUUGAGACGUCUGGUUAUCCUUAUUACGCAGCUGGCUAAAGAACUGUCAAACAAAGGAGUACUUAAAACUCAAGCAGAAAAUACUAAUGAGGCUGCCAAAAAAUUCAUGGAAGAGAAUGAAAGACUAAAACGGCUCUUGAAAAACUAUGCCAAGGAAGAGGAACACAUUUUGGAAGCAGAAAAUAAAAAAUUAGUAGAAGACCAGGAAAAACUGAAAACUGAAUUAAAGAAGACUUCAGAUGCCCUCUCUAAGGCACAGAAUGAUGUGAUGACAAUGAGAAUGCAAUCAGAGCAUCUUUCAAAAGAAUAUGACCGACUCCUGAAAGAACACGCAGAACUUCAGAAUUGUUCAGGGAAAGACAGUAAGAAGGGCCUGUGAACUUUGAAAGAAGAUUGUGUGACGCCAUGUGAAGAUCAGUUUGUUAUCAUGUUAGCCUCUAGAACAUUUAAAAUUCAGUUCGGAAAAAGGAUAGCCAAAGUGAUUUCUAACACUGCAGUCCUGAAAGACAGCCCCCCAGAAAUUAUCCAUGCCCUAAUCCCUGGAAGCUGGAAAUACUCUCUUCCAUGGCAUAAACUCCUGUGUGACGAGCCUCCCUCACCCUGGCACACAACAGCUUUCAUCUUCAAAGAGGGGAAAGCAGAACGUCUGUCUAAUCAGUGGAAAGCAGAGGAGUUAAGAAAACGACGUAUACAUGCUGUAUUGCAGAACUUGUUCAACCCGGCACGACAGGAGCCAGUCUCUUACUUCCAAGCAGAAGACCAAACAAGCCUUUCUCCAGAUGGGCAUGUUAGACGCAAGAUAAAGACCUAACGAUGUCGACAAGGGUGACGACGUCAGGGCUUCCCCACCCAGCAGCGGCCAGCUCACUGGACAGGAUAUCACACCCACUCGGAGCCCCCAGGCAGCUCUGGAGGCCCCAACUUUGAAGUAAGAGCAGGCACUCAAGCAUGAGGAGAAUCUGAGAAAAGCCCCUAAUAUGAAUACAUAGAGACCAAAAAACGAACAGGAAAAAAAUGUGGUGAAAAUAGAAAACGUACAGGAAGAAGAAAAGUACAUUUAAAAAAAAAUAACAACUAAACCCUUAAUGUCUUCAGAGAAGACAUGGUUCUUAUUUCAUUACCCUUAUGAAAUCAGAAUUGGAAGCUAUAAGACAUUUCUUGAAGAAAGUAAAACAGAGUCCUUAGGAAAAAAUAGAAAAAGGGCCCACCAAAUCCCUAGCAUGGUGCCUGAAAAUAGACCCACACCACUGAACCGAGUUCAAAGGGAAUAUUGUAUACGUUUCCGGUGAAAAAGCUGUUUAAAAAAAAACCACAGGCCCAAAAUGGUGUCACUUAGGUUAAGGCCCCAAACCUGUAUACUAAGACUUAAUACCUAGCCUAACUGCAGUUUCGACUCCACAGAAAUGUAACCUUUAACCAGUCCACCUGGGAAUUUCCUGGUCAGCACUAGAAGUUUACUGAUAGACCCCUCCCCCUCUGCUCCCCUUAGGAGGGGGACCUUGCCUAAAACAAUGGAUCCUUUGCUAAUAAUUUUCUUUUAUCUGCUCCCUCUCUACUUUUAAAAACCUUUCCCUUCCUGUAGCCCCUUGGAGCUCUCCUCUACUUGCUAGUUGGAAUGCUGCCCAACUCAUGAAUCGAUUAAUAAAGCCAAUUAGAUCUUUAAAA
Mirounga angustirostris (Northern elephant seal) is the source of this 2184-nucleotide RNA transcript. It is a transcript of the gene named B cell receptor associated protein 29, with no coding region annotated. NCBI's taxonomy places the organism in Eukaryota, Metazoa, Chordata, Mammalia, Carnivora, Phocidae. The record is from RefSeq and is a predicted model, not a curated record. The transcript has 10 exons.